Molecule: ribosomal RNA, 332 nt
Filed under: uncultured bacterium
Lineage: Bacteria
Description: partial 16S ribosomal RNA
Rfam family: Bacterial small subunit ribosomal RNA
Source: RNAcentral
UCUACGGGUGGCAGCAGUGGGGAAUAUUGCACAAUGGGGGAAACCCUGAUGCAGCAACGCCGCGUGGGUGAAGGAGCGUUUCGGCGCGUAAAGCCCUGUCAGCGGGGAAGAAGAAAGACGGUACCCGACCAAGAAGCCCCGGCUAACUACGUGCCAGCAGCCGCGGUAAUACGGAGGGGGCGCUCGUUAUCCGGAAUUACUGGGUGUAAAGGGAGCGUAGACGGCGAGGUAAGGCUGAAGUGGACGCCCGCGGCGCAACCGGGGAACUGCUUGUGGGACUGUUUUGCUGGAGUAGGGGAGGGGUAGGCGGAAUUCGUGGUGUAGCGGUGAAA